This 253-nucleotide unclassified non-coding RNA is filed under the name uncultured Flavobacteriaceae bacterium. RNAcentral describes it as "contains 16S-23S intergenic spacer region". It matches the Rfam family "Bacterial small subunit ribosomal RNA", at positions 524 to 776 of the family's 1533-position model. The record is from RNAcentral. Lineage: Bacteria; Pseudomonadati; Bacteroidota; Flavobacteriia; Flavobacteriales; Flavobacteriaceae.
UACGGAGGAUCCAAGCGUUAUCCGGAAUCAUUGGGUUCAAAGGGUCCGUAGGCGGGAUAAUAAGUCAGUGGUGAAAGUCUGCAGCUCAACUGUAGAAUUGCCAUUGAUACUGUUGUUCUUGAGUGUUUAUGAAGUGGUUAGAAUAUGUAGUGUAGCGGUGAAAUGCUUAGAUAUUACAUGGAAUACCAAUUGCGAAGGCAGAUCACUAACAGUAUAUUGACGCUGAUGGACGAAAGCGUAGGUAGCGAACAGG